GUAGCCUAGUGGUUAGAGGAGGCAGGUAGCCUAGUGGUUAGAGGAGGCAGGUAGCCUAGUGGUUAGAGGAGGCAGGUAGCCUAGUGGUUAGAGGAGGCAGGUAGCCUAGUGGUUAGAGGAGGCAGGUAGCCUAGUGGUUAGAGGAGGCAGGUAGCCUAGUGGUUAGAGGAGGCAGCUAGCCUAGUGGUUAGAGGAGGAGGCAGCUAGCCUAGUGGUUAGAGGAGGCGGGUAGCCUAGUGGUUAGAGGAGGCAGGUAGCCUAGUGGUUAGAGGAGGCAGGUAGCCUAGUGGUUAGAGGAGGAGGCAGGUAGCCUGGUGGUUAGAGGAGGCAGGUAGCCUAGUGGUUAGAGGAGGCAGGUAGCCUAGUGGUUAGAGAGUUGGGCCAGUAACUGAAGGUGAAAAUCUGUCAUUCUGCCCCUGAUUCUUAACUGACUUGCCUAGUUAAAUGAAGGUUAAAUAAAGGUUAAAUUAAUAAAACAUGUAAAAGUCUGUGUGCAUGUUGAAGGUUAAAUAAAGGUUACAUGAAGGUUACAUUAAUAAAACAUGUAAAAAUCUGACUGUGUGUGUGUUGAAGGUUAAAUGAAGGUUAAAUAAAGGUUAAAUGAAGGUUACAUUAAUAAAACAUGUAAAAAUCUGACUGUUUUUGUGUUGAAGGUUAAAUGAAGGUUAAAUAAAGGUUAAAUGAAGGUUACAUUAAUAAAAGAUGUAAAAGUCUGACUGUGUGUGUGUCUUGUCUCUAGCUGUGGAGCGUUUAGGGUUGGGUUGGCUGGUGGUCGUUGACUCUUCAUCACUCUCACUGGUGCUCACGAUACGCUGGGCCUUUCUACCAGUACGCCUCAACAAUGACUUCCUGAAACACACACACACACACACACACACACACACACACACACACACACACACACACACACACACACACACACACACACACACACACACACACACACAC
Molecule: long non-coding RNA, 948 nt
Filed under: Salmo salar (Atlantic salmon)
Lineage: Eukaryota; Metazoa; Chordata; Actinopteri; Salmoniformes; Salmonidae
Description: lncRNA (ENSSSAG00000103029.1)
Source: RNAcentral